AGGAGCCGUGUGCGUGGAAACACGCACGCACGGUUUUGAAGACCAGCGGGACCGGGGACGGUCUCGCUGAGUUUAAC
RNAcentral lists this non-coding RNA (77 nucleotides) under Spirosoma endophyticum. The record is from RNAcentral. Lineage: Bacteria; Pseudomonadati; Bacteroidota; Cytophagia; Cytophagales; Cytophagaceae.